UUGGAUGGCAAUCUGUUGUGUAGGCAUCUACUUGCUUCCUCUGCAUGGUGUGAGGUAUCAAGACGAAGCAAUGGGUUCGAUCUUCGGCUCUUCUCUUACGAGGACGUGACCACUCUCUUGCUUUGUAGAUGGUUGAGUUUGGGUACACGAGGGUCCGCGUGCAAGAGCUGCUGAUCCUUUUAGACGUUUUCCCCGCUUGGAGUUUCAAGGUUCAACCUUGUGCCUUUCCUCUCUUGGGUUGUCAGUGGUCUUAUUGCAGAUGCGGUAGUGGUUGUUAUUGGCUCCAUUUGCGCCUCGGUUGUUGAUUUUUUCCGCCGGUGUUGUUUCUCGUGAGGUUGUGGUUGUGACCUGUGAUGGAUUGUAGUCUUCUCAAGUCUCUGUUUCUGAGUUCAACUCGUGCGUCUUCAGUUUCUUGGUCAUGAUUGGCUACCUGGUGCUGUUAUGGAAUUCGGUUUGAGUUCCCUUGAUCAUUAAGUAUUUCAAGUCAUUAUCCUUUGUUUGUGGUAGUCUCUAGAGUAAUGGUUCUAUUUAUGUUUUUUUAAUUUGGGUCUCUGGGAUUUCGAUUUGUGAACUCUCCAACUUUGGUCUUCGAAAGAGUUGCGACUCUUGUUGACUGUUGGCUUGUAAUGAUGGUACUUCCGUUUAAGUUGAAUGAAAUUCAAAGAUGACCAAAAAAAAAGUCUCUGUCUGCGUUAAUUCGAUUUCAGCUCUUCUCAUUCCCUUUGAAUACCGGCAAUGUUACGCAACUUCGUUGGUAAGACGUAAGCGAUAAUCAUUUUGCUUCAAAUGAAGUGUAUACAUUGCUUAAUAUUUUUUUUUUUUUGAAAAUUGGCUUAAGAAUUGCUAAACUUGAUUGUGAGAAAAGCAAUUCUUGUAAUUUAUCCAUGUGGCAACUUUCAGGUGGUCCGAUAGUGCCUCUUUCUCACAAUAUCGACAUGACGUUUUUUUAAGUUCAUGACAUAGUGAACUUAAUUUUCUGUAUUUUUAAAUGGUGGUAAUUAGAGAGACGUAAGAAUCUUGUAAGAAAUGUAUUCAUAGGAGUGUUAAGGAUAACCUGAGGCUGUGCAGUUACAACAUACUCGUUAAGCUCUCAACUAUAGUGAGUGGUUCCACUUUCUUGAAACCCCGCAACAUGGAGGGAGUAGAGUUGAUGUAUUGCCACCAGCCUAUAUUACAAGCGGGAAUGGUGCGGAAAGUGUAUAUGAGAAAAGUGUUUUGCCA
RNAcentral lists this long non-coding RNA (1221 nucleotides) under Brassica rapa (field mustard). RNAcentral describes it as "long non-coding RNA (BRAP_LNC000434)". Lineage: Eukaryota; Viridiplantae; Streptophyta; Magnoliopsida; Brassicales; Brassicaceae. The record is from RNAcentral.